Molecule: ribosomal RNA, 253 nt
Filed under: uncultured bacterium
Lineage: Bacteria
Description: partial 16S ribosomal RNA
Rfam family: Bacterial small subunit ribosomal RNA
Source: RNAcentral
UACGGAGGGUGCAAGCGUUAUCCGGAUUCACUGGGUUUAAAGGGUGCGUAGGUGGGUUGGUAAGUCAGUGGUGAAAUCUCUAGGCUUAACCUGGAAACUGCCAUUGAUACUAUCAGUCUUGAAUAUUGUGGAGGUCAGCGGAAUAUGUCAUGUAGCGGUGAAAUGCUUAGAUAUGACAUAGAACACCAAUUGCGAAGGCAGCUGGCUACGCAUAUAUUGACACUGAGGCACGAAAGCGUGGGGAUCAAACAGG